This 492-nucleotide ribosomal RNA is filed under the name uncultured bacterium. Its description in RNAcentral is "partial 16S ribosomal RNA". It matches the Rfam family "Bacterial small subunit ribosomal RNA", at positions 29 to 507 of the family's 1533-position model. The record is from RNAcentral.
AGUGAACGCUGGCGGUAGGCCUAACACAUGCAAGUCGAACGGCAGCACAGUAAGAGCUUGCUCUUACGGGUGGCGAGUGGCGGACGGGUGAGGAAUACAUCGGAAUCUACUUUUUCGUGGGGGAUAACGUAGGGAAACUUACGCUAAUACCGCAUACGACCUACGGGUGAAAGCAGGGGAUCUUCGGACCUUGCGCGAUUGAAUGAGCCGAUGUCGGAUUAGCUAGUUGGCGGGGUAAAGGCCCACCAAGGCGACGAUCCGUAGCUGGUCUGAGAGGAUGAUCAGCCACACUGGAACUGAGACACGGUCCAGACUCCUACGGGAGGCAGCAGUGGGGAAUAUUGGGCAAUGGGCGCAAGCCUGAUCCAGCCAUACCGCGUGGGUGAAGAAGGCCUUCGGGUUGUAAAGCCCUUUUGUUGGGAAAGAAAAGCAGCAGGUUAAUACCCCGCUGUUCUGACGGUACCCAAAGAAGAAGCACCGGCUAACUUCGUG